RNAcentral lists this small RNA (107 nucleotides) under Marmota monax (woodchuck). Lineage: Eukaryota; Metazoa; Chordata; Mammalia; Rodentia; Sciuridae. The record is from RNAcentral.
GCUGGGUACAGUGGUGCAUGCCUAUAAUCCCAGUGGCCUUGGAGGCUGAGGCAGGAGGAUCACAAGUUAGAGGCCAGCCUCAGCAACUUAGCAAGACCCUGUCUCAA